AUGGAGCGGCGAGGAGGAGCGGCGGCGCCGUCGCUGGAGCUGCCGGGGUUCCGCUUCCACCCCACGGAGGAGGAGCUGCUGGAGUUCUACCUCAAGCACCACGUCACCAGCAGCAGCAAGAAUCAUCAGGUCAGGGCGCCGUUCGACAUCAUCCCCACGGUGCACCUGUACCGGCACGACCCCUGGGACCUCCCGGGGCUGGCCGCCAUCGCCAGCGAGCGGGAGUGGUACUUCUUCGUGCCCCGCGACGGCGCCCGGAAGCACGCGGCCGGCGGGCGCCCGAGCCGCACCACGGAGCGCGGGUUCUGGAAGGCCACGGGGUCCGACCGCGCCGUGCGCUGCGCCGCCGACCCCAAGCGCCUCGUCGGGCUCAAGAAGACGCUCGUCUACUACCAGGGCCGCGCGCCGCGGGGCACCAAGACCGACUGGGUCAUGAACGAGUACCGGCUGCCCGACCUUGCCGGCGCCGGCGCCGGCGAGCAGCAGGACGUGGUGCUCUGCAAGGUGUACCGCAAGGCCGUCUCGCUCAAGGAGCUGGAGCAGCGGGUGGCCAUGGAGGAGCUCGCGCGCGCGCGCUCCUCCCCGCCCACCGCCACGGCGUCCCGCUCCCUCUCCCACUGCAGCGCCGGCUCGCCCGACGUCUCGUCCGCCGCGUCGGAGCUCGAGGUCGCCCACCACGAGGCCGCCGUGCAGCACCACGGGGUGAAGAAGGAGGAGGCCGUGGCGGUGGCGAGGCCGGAGGCGAUGCGGCUGCCGCAGCUGGAGACGGCGAGGGGCGGCGGGGGCGGCGGGCUGGAGUGGAUGCAGGACCCCUUCCUGACGCAGCUGAGGAGCCCCUGGAUGGAGGGCCUCUGCUUGUCUCCCUACUACGGCGCCAGCGUCCUCAACUUCUAG
RNAcentral lists this ribosomal RNA (894 nucleotides) under Triticum aestivum (bread wheat). RNAcentral describes it as "partial small subunit ribosomal RNA". The record is from RNAcentral. Lineage: Eukaryota; Viridiplantae; Streptophyta; Magnoliopsida; Poales; Poaceae.